CCUUUCAUUGAUGAUGAUCUCAUCAUGUAUAUCCUUGGCGGAUUGGGAAGUGAGUAUGAAUCUGUUGUUGUUAAUCUCACUUCUAAAGAUUCUCUAACUUUGUAGGAAGUUCAAUUCAUGUUGCAAAGCCAAGAAAUGAGC
Humulus lupulus (European hop) is the source of this 141-nucleotide small nucleolar RNA. RefSeq annotates it as small nucleolar RNA Z247. The record is from RefSeq and is a predicted model, not a curated record. The transcript has a single exon. NCBI's taxonomy places the organism in Eukaryota, Viridiplantae, Streptophyta, Magnoliopsida, Rosales, Cannabaceae.